Molecule: long non-coding RNA, 707 nt
Organism: Nicotiana tabacum (common tobacco)
Lineage: Eukaryota; Viridiplantae; Streptophyta; Magnoliopsida; Solanales; Solanaceae
Source: RefSeq, a predicted model, not a curated record
UACCCGAAGAACUCAGCGCAUCUUUCCCCUUUUCCCUUUUACUUCUCAUUCCCUCUUCAUAUCCCUUAAAAACCAGAGAAAACGGCAAUACCAGGGUUCCCCUUUUCUUCUUCUCCAUUCCUCAUCUUCAACAGACAUACAUGCCCUCAUGAUCUGAUUUUUGCGCAUAAUUUUAGAGAACAGCUAAAAUCGGCGAAAUCGAAAAAAAAGGAUUUGAAAGCUAUGGUUAAACUUCUACUCACUUGUUCUAUUUUUCUGAAAAUUCAAGUGCAAACAAGUUUGGGAAAGAGCUUAUGAAGCUAGGAGUAGGGGCUGAUCUCGUCGAUGAUUUCACUGCUGUCCAUGUAGCUGAUUUCCAACAUAGCAUCGGUUCUUUCAGCCUUUGUCCUGGCAUUUAUUUUCGAUUUUUAUUUGUGUUUCAGGAUAUGACUUGCUAGUAAGUGAGUCUCAACUGUGAGGGAGGAGGCAAGAAGUAUGCUUUGGUGGAUCAGGGUUUUCAAUUCCUAUUCAUGUGCAAUUACCUCACACUUGGAUAAUGCUAUUAGUGUAUUUCAAACUUCUUAUUUGAUUUUUCAUACUUAGUGGGUUACCUUCAAUUAUUUUAUUUUUCUUGUUCGUUUUAAAUCUAUUUAGCAACUGGACCUCAUAUUUGUGUUAGUAAGGGAUAUUUUUGGUAUAUAAGUACUAACUUGAAAGUUGGGUUUUAA